This 30-nucleotide non-coding RNA is filed under the name Cricetulus griseus (Chinese hamster). The record is from RNAcentral. Lineage: Eukaryota; Metazoa; Chordata; Mammalia; Rodentia; Cricetidae.
AACAGAUGAGGAAGAACUCAGAAAACCAAG